RNAcentral lists this ribosomal RNA (2584 nucleotides) under Clostridioides difficile. Its description in RNAcentral is "bacterial LSU rRNA". It matches the Rfam family "Bacterial large subunit ribosomal RNA", at positions 3 to 2609 of the family's 2925-position model. The record is from RNAcentral. Lineage: Bacteria; Bacillati; Bacillota; Clostridia; Peptostreptococcales; Peptostreptococcaceae.
UCAAGUUAUUAAGGGUGCAGGGCGGAUGCCUUGGCACUAGGAGCCGAUGAAGGACGUGAUAAGCUGCGAUAAGCUUCGGGGAGUUGCACGUAAACUUUGAUCCGAAGAUUUCCGAAUGAGGAAACUCACUUAGAGUAAUGUCUAAGUAUCAUUAAGUGAAUACAUAGCUUAAUGAGGGGAACUCAGGGAACUGAAACAUCUAAGUACCUGAAGGAAGAGAAAGAAAUUCGAUUCCGUAAGUAGCGGCGAGCGAACGCGGAUUAGCCCAAACCAAUAAAGUUUUCUUUAUUGGGGUUGCGGACAUAUCAUAACGAAGAGGUAUCGUAAUUGAAGAGGUUUGGAAAGACCCACCACAGAAGGUAAUAGUCCUGUAUGUUAAACGAGAAGACUUUAGAUAUGAUCCAGAGUACCACGGGACACGUGAAACCCUGUGGGAAGCAGGAGGGACCACCCUCCAAGGCUAAAUACUACCUAGUGACCGAUAGCGUAUAGUACCGUGAGGGAAAGGUGAAAAGAACCCCGGGAGGGGAGUGAAAUAGAACCUGAAACCCUGCACUUACAAGCUGUGGAAGCACAUUUCUUGUGUGACCGCGUACUUUUUGUAGAACGGGCCAACGAGUUACGUUAAGUAGCAAGGUUAAGCACUUAAGGUGCGGAGCCGUAGCGAAAGCGAGUUUUAACUGAGCGUUCAGUUACUUGACGUAGACCCGAAACCGGGCGACCUACCCAUGAGCAGGAUGAAGCGAAAGUAAAAUUUCGUGGAGGUCCGAACCCACGAGCGUUGAAAAGCUCGGGGAUGACUUGUGGGUAGCGGUGAAAUUCCAAUCGAGCCCGGAGAUAGCUGGUUCUCCCCGAAAUAGCUUUAGGGCUAGCCUCAAGGUGAGAGAUACGGAGGUAGAGCACUGAAUGUCCUAGGGGGUAUUGCACCUACCGAAGACUAUCAAACUCCGAAUGCCGUCAUCUUAUACUUGGGAGUCAGACUGUGGGUGAUAAGAUUCAUAGUCGAAAGGGCAACAGCCCAGAUCGUCAGCUAAGGUCCCUAAAUGUAAGUUAAGUGGUAAAGGAUGUGGGAUUGCACAGACAACCAGGAUGUUGGCUUAGAAGCAGCCACUCAUUCAAAGAGUGCGUAAUAGCUCACUGGUCGAGUGAUCCUGCGCCGAAGAUUUCCGGGGCUAAAACUUACUACCGAAGCUACGGCAUCAGUAAUGAUGGGUAGGGGAGCUUCCCAUACGGGUUGAAGCAUGACCGUAAGGACAUGUGGACAGUAUGGGAGUGAGAAUGUUGGCAUGAGUAGCGAGAUGUGGGUGAGAAUCCCACAGGCCGUAAACCCAAGGUUUCCAGGGGAAGGUUCGUCCGCCCUGGGUUAGUCGGGACCUAAGCUGAGGCCGAAAGGCGUAGGUGAUGGACAACAGGUUGAUAUUCCUGUACUACCGAUAACCGUUUGAGAGAAGGGAUGACACAGUAGGAUAAGCUAAGCACACUGUUGGUUAUGUGUGCCCAAGCAUUGAGGCAGUCAAAGUAGGCAAAUCCGCUUUGAUAAUGCUGGGAUGUGAUGGGGAGCGAAAUUUAGUAGCGAAGUAGCUGAUUUCACACUGUCAAGAAAAGUCUCUAUCGAGGUUAAAGGUACCCGUACCGCAAACCGACACAGGUGGGUGAGGAGAGUAUCCUAAGGCCAGCGAGAGAACUGUUGUUAAGGAACUCGGCAAAAUGACCCCGUAACUUAGGGAUAAGGGGUGCCACCAUCAGGUGGCCGCAGAGAAUAGGCCCAAGCGACUGUUUACCAAAAACAUAGGUUUCUGCUAAGUCGCAAGACGAUGUAUAGGAGCUGACGCCUGCCCGGUGCUGGAAGGUUAAGGGGAUCUGUUAGAGCAAUCGAAGCAGUGAACUUAAGCCCCAGUAAACGGCGGCCGUAACUAUAACGGUCCUAAGGUAGCGAAAUUCCUUGUCGGGUAAGUUCCGACCCGCACGAAAGGCGUAACGAUUUGGGCACUGUCUCAACAACAGACUCGGUGAAAUUGUAAUUCCGGUGAAGAUGCCGGAUACCUGCGACAGGACGGAAAGACCCCAUGGAGCUUUACUGUAGCUUGACAUUGGGUCUUGGUACUACAUGUACAGGAUAGGUGGGAGGCUUUGAAACCAGGACGCCAGUUUUGGCGGAGCCAUCCUUGGGAUACCACCCUUGUAGUACUGGGACUCUAACCAUAGGCCAUGAAUCUGGUCUUGGGACACUGUCAGGUGGGCAGUUUGACUGGGGCGGUCGCCUCCCAAAAGGUAACGGAGGCGCUCAAAGGUUCUCUCAGUACGGUCGGAAAUCGUACGUAGAGUGUAAAGGCAAAAGAGAGCUUGAUUGCAAGACAUACAGGUCGAGCAAGGAUGAAAAUCGGACUUAGUGAUCCGGUGGUUCUGCGUGGAAGGGCCAUCGCUCAACGGAUAAAAGCUACCCUGGGGAUAACAGGCUUAUCUCCCCCAAGAGUCCACAUCGACGGGGAGGUUUGGCACCUCGAUGUCGGCUCAUCACAUCCUGGGGCUGUAGUAGGUCCCAAGGGUUGGGCUGUUCGCCCAUUAAAGUGGUACGCGAGCUGGG